AGGCAGUAUAAAGGAGUCAGAGCUUCUGUUCAUCAGAAUCCAUACGGCAGAGUCAGGGAGAUGGUUCUGGGAGAAGAAAAGAAAGUCAGUUGCUUUCUGAGAUCAGGUGGGAAGUUUAUCAUGUCAACUCCACCUUUAGAGUGCUAGUCUCUGGAGCCACAAGGACUGAAACUCUGCUUCAGAGACCCACCACUGAUGACAACCAUCAGGCUCAGGAACCGAAAAGAACUGGUGCAAAUGUGGCCAAGGGACUUGGGUUUUACAUUUAUUGCCGAGUCUGGUUUUCUUGAGUUUCAGAUGAUAAAAUUGAAGCCCAGAGAAGGUUGGGAGCCUCCACUGGUAAUGGAAAAACCAUAACUAGAACUCAGUUUUCGUGAGACCUUUUUUCUAUUCAUUCCCCUGCCCUCGGGCCACUCCGGGGCACUGAGCACACUUGCUUUGGCUAUUUGGAGAAGAGGCCAAUAGACACAACUGGCUUCAUCUUCAGGGACACCCAAUAUCUGUCAGCCCUCAGCCCCAGCAGAGUCUUUAUUGAAAGAACUGAUUCAUAGACCAGGCGCAGUGGCUCAUGCCUAUAAUC
This 580-nucleotide long non-coding RNA is filed under the name Pongo abelii (Sumatran orangutan). RNAcentral's name for it is "lincRNA". Lineage: Eukaryota; Metazoa; Chordata; Mammalia; Primates; Hominidae. The record is from RNAcentral.